This is a long non-coding RNA of Herpailurus yagouaroundi (jaguarundi), 1178 nucleotides long. RefSeq lists it as uncharacterized. The transcript has 3 exons. Lineage: Eukaryota; Metazoa; Chordata; Mammalia; Carnivora; Felidae. The record is from RefSeq and is a predicted model, not a curated record.
CCUCCACCGGGCUCGCCGGUCCGUCGGACUUUUGGCUGAGAUCCGUGUCAGACUCCUCCGAAUAGUCGUCUGUUGGCAUCGAGGGCUGAACCCCUGAGGUGCUGCAUGAACUUGAGAGCGCGCUCUCGCACGCCAGGCAGUGGUACGAGCCGCCGCCACCACCGCCGCCACCGCUGCCGCCGCCACUGCCGCCGCCACCCGUGGGGACGUGAAGCACCAUCUCUUGCAGGUUCACCACAGACUGGCCGAAGAAGCAGAGGGACUUCAGGGUGAUGGAAGACAUCACUGCUACUGGUACAUCAAGGUGGUGGUAGAAGAGGACAGCAUUGUGAGGAAGGGCGACCAGGUGUGCUGAAUGAGGAGAUGCUGAGAAGAAUUCACAGGCAGUGGACCUCAGAUCAUUACAUUCAGCACACUUCAGAAACUAGACGGUAUUCAUCCCUUUGUUUCAGAGCGUACCACAGGUAAAAUUAAACCCACAGCUCCUCACUAUUUCAUCUGGACCAACCUAGGAUUGGGUGUUCUAUAGCACAACAUGGGCCUUGUAAGAAAAAAACACACGGAAGUGCACACCUGGGUGAAGACGAUGUUGACUUCACAGUAGGGCAGCAUGUAAAAACUCAAAUUUCAGACGAAGAGGACAAGGUUGCCUCAAGCUGUCAAUCCCAGAAAAAGAUCCAUUAAUGUUUGGAAAGCCAAGGAAGAUGCUUCCCUCAGCUUUGUGGAAUAGCAUUAAUCUAUUCUUUCAGAACAGCAGAAAGGGACGACUGAAAUUAAGUCAUCCAGUUUCCUCAAUGCACAGAAGGGACUGAAACCAGAGAGAUAUGUGUGACUCAGAAAAACCCCGUAAAGGUUCACUGGUUAAACUGGCACAAACAAGAUGGAGAGCAAAUGGAUUAUGAAGUCGACAACUUAGGACGCAGCUCUUUCUGUCUACUUACAGGCAACAGGCCUGCUCCAAGUUUUAGGUUGGAGUCAGAGCCAAAAGAUCAGCAAGGCAAUGCAAAAACAGCUAGAGAUUUCCUAUCUCUAUGGCUUCAGGCUUUCAGGAGAAGGAUCCAGGUUAGAAAACCUAAUGUAACUAAUAUAUCUUGAAUAGAAGAGAAAGAAUUUUAAGGAUCAUUUACGGAACGCUUGCUAUAUUUACCAAGCUCUGCUAAAUAUAUUCUCAGAAUAAU